Long non-coding RNA from Xiphophorus hellerii (green swordtail), 2886 nucleotides. RefSeq lists it as uncharacterized. The transcript is spliced from 2 exons. The record is from RefSeq and is a predicted model, not a curated record. Lineage: Eukaryota; Metazoa; Chordata; Actinopteri; Cyprinodontiformes; Poeciliidae.
AAAUCAUUUUGCAUGGUAAAAAAAAAAAGAAGAAAAAAAUGUCCAACAGGAAAUUACGCUUUAGUGGCCCCUGCCAUAAAACAAAUAAUAAAAAUAAACGUACACCAAUAAGAUUUCUCCAUGUUUUCCAACAGACAAGUGAGGGGAAUAAAAACAGCUCUGAUAGAUCUAGACGCUUUAAAUCCAACACAAAAACAUACUAAAUUACUGUCUAUUAUGUUUAAACACCAAACAUGGUGACAUUUAAACACAUUAGGAGAGUCGAUCAAUUCAAAGUCGGACAAUUUUAAACUUCAGCUGACUGAUUAAUGCAAAAUAGUGGCUUUGUUUUUUCUGGCACUUGUGACAUUUUGCAGCCCGUAAAAUGAAGGUCAUAGAUUCCCAAAAACACUUUCACUUUCAAACACCAACAUCUCACCUAGUCGCACGUCAUCUCAGAAAUAUUUUUCAAAAAAUAUGUCGACAAAUAAGCAGCGAAUGUACCGUGCAUCAUCAUCAUCAUCAUCAUCAUCAGUAGUCACGGUGGGUUCUGCUUCCCAAACCACAGAUUAGGAGUGAAGAGACAGGGCAGCGAGAGCACUGUUUGGAUUAUAAUCUCACCAAAACAUCAGGGAAUGUCAGCGUAACCAGAUUAAACAGAGCUAAUGAAAUACAUAAUGCAUGUGAGAUCUUAUGGGGAGGAACUGAGAGAUGAAAGAUGGCUGAGGAUUAGGGUGGCAAAACCUCCCAAAAUAAAAUCCAAAAGAAGCAAAGGGCAGAGCAGGAAAAGGUCGGGAACCCCUGCGCGCUUUUCUUUUUUCCUCCCUCAGAUGGACAAAGACUGACACACACCUCUCCUUUCAUUCAGUCACUUGUGUUUAAUUUAAUCCAAUCCACAGAGUUUCAUACUGCAUCCAUCAACAAGUCUUGGUCAAAAAAGAAAAAAGAAAAGCGAACCCAGAAGGGAUUUUUAGUUGUUUUUUUUUUUGUUUUUGUCUUGUAAGCCACGUGUGCCUGAAGAUCACUUCACCCUAAAAAUGAUUUUCACUGACAUUUCCCCCAAUGCAGCAAUGCGCGCUCCCAAAAGCCGAUUUCCAGGGGAGGAGGGGGAGGGGGCAGAGGGGGGGGCGUCCUCCUGUUUGGACACGGAGCGCGAGCGCGCAGCCCUCUCAACAAAACUCUGCGGGGGCGCGCGUGAGCGGGCACGGGUCAGCCAUUGGCUGAAGCGCAGCUCCAUGUGCACACGUGACCUGCACUGCUUAGCUACAAUAAAUAAACUGCUACGAGGAGCAAAACCAGUUCAAAUUGCCUCUAAUUGAUGCAACUUUCACUGGAGCAACGGGACGGAAUUAAAAAGGUCCGGUGGCAGGCGGAGAGCGCCACGCAAAAAGGAGAAAAAGCGCUUUAGAGACAGCCAUUAGGUUCGCCACUCCACAUUACGGUGCCGGUUUUGCGCUGUCCAGGCUCCAGCUGAGGCAGCCGGAGGAAAACACCGCCACCGCCACACACCACAGCCACACACACGCGUCCACACUAUUCCAAGCGGGCUUACCUACACAGUGAAUGAGUUUGUGCCUCCAAGAGUCAAGUUCCUGCCGAAAGCCGCGCCUCUCUAUCGUGCAUUGCUGCCUUUUGCACAGACUCGCCAUUUUCUGUCGGCCCCUCCCGUGGGCGCGCACAUACUGCUGGGUGCUUCUCUGCGCGCACGUCACCGGUGGAUUUUAUUCUAGGGCUGGGUGGAGAGAGAUAUGAGGAGGACGGGGCUGCAGCAUCCCCCUUUCUAUGCCGCUGUUUGUCCCACCCACCUAAACUGCCCCCUCCCCUCCGCGUCUCAGCAUCUCUGCACGAGGAUCGGCUGCCAUUGGCUGCUUCCGUGGGAUGUUUGUUUUAAUGUACAGCCACGGAGUGUGCCACAUGGGCGCCCGUGCGCAAAUUUUCUCUUUCUUUUUUUUGGCAAGGCUUAAACCUGCUGCAUGUGUGCCAAAGGGCGAGGGUGUGCCGUGCCGGAGAUUUAAAAUAAAGUGUGUGCAUUGUUUAAAUCAGCUGAUGGGUUACACUCUACCUGUAACCCAUCAGCUUCCACUUUCUCACGCAGGGAAAGUGGGUGCGUGAGAAAAUAUGUCGCACCUUUCCGAACAAAAACUGGGCAGUAAAAGAGAAACAAAAACGAGUUAAAGGCAAAAAUGUAGACAGGACACUUUAGUGGGAGGAAAUAUCAUAACUCCACCUGUAAUUAGUUAUUUUAUGAUGGUCUUACAUGCAUUUAGUGUAAAGCAUAUUUACAACAACAACUCUAAAUAUAUGACCUUUAAACAUAUACAUUUAGAUAAUGCAUUGUUUUAACUUCGUCUGCUUAUUUAACUGUAAUGUUUAAACUUUGAGCAAUUUUGCACUUUGUUGUCUGAAAACGUUCCAACUAUCUAUAGUAAUAUUAAUUACAUACUUUUUAAAAAAUACAAUGACAAUUGCUUCACAAGAUAAAAUUUAAACAAAGACAUGUUUAAGUAGAAAAAACAGGGAAAAUUAUGUGAAGUAGUAAGAAAAACUUAAUUAUUGUAUAUAAAAUGAUUAUUAUUGUUGUGGGAUUAAUUUCAGACUCUGAACUCACCAAUUACACUUCUUGAAACAUCAUCUGUGUUUGGACAUCGUGGCAUAAAAAUGUUUACAAAUGAGUCCAAUAAUAGCAGUAAUAAUCAUUAAAAAUAGUAAAUCAUAUUCAUUUUGGACAUUUCAGAAAUAACCUACAAAGAGCUUCAGAGUAUCUCAUAGAAAAUAAAAAAUAUAAAAGUAUAACUUUAAAAGCAGAGGCACAAGUAGAUUAAUUAUUUCAUUUCCCUUUGCGAUCAAUAAAGUGGCUUUGAAUCGAAAUUAACUGAAUUAAAACAAUCAAUAAAAUACAAUUUAAUA